GGCGGGGCGCCCCCGGCCGGGCACCCGGCGCUGCUCCUCGGGCCCGAGGGAUCCCGGGCAGCCGCGCGCCGGGGCCCGGGGCGGAGUGCUCGCGGGUGUGUCCAUUCGUCCAUCCACCGCCCCCGCCCGCCCCCUGCGGUGGCUCCCGGCUUGCCCAGCUCGGCGGCCGCGCCCGGCAGAUGCGCGGCGCUGGGUCCCGGCCUCCUGCGCCCCGGGCCUCCCGGCCCCGCCGGCCCCGGGUUGGCGGACGGGACCGAGGCGAGCUCCCCGGCCGCGCUCAACACCUGAGGAAACUGGCGGAAAAGUUUGAGAACGAAAAGUCCAAUCGUCUUUCAGCUUCCGCCCUCCCUAUGACACUCCAGCCACGGUAGUGGAGACCAGUGAUGCACAGACUCCUCAAGCUGCUCAGAGCCUAGCAGGGGAUGUGGAACCCCAAAGGAGCACAGGCGGAAGGAGGCCCUGAAGCUGAUCACCACCAUCUGCUACUUCCUCCUCCUUGUUCUCAGGGUGGACCCUCUGCUGGGUCAGCAUAUGCUGCCAAGGAGUCCACUGGGCCAUGUCAGGAACCAGGACUGGAUGCAUCUGGGUCCUGGAGGACCCUCCAGAGUCUCCCCCACCCAGCAGCAGAGGCUGCUCUUUUCAGUUAUGGGCUGAAAGUCUUAGGUGAUUCCCCAAACUCAGUCCAAGACCCAGGUAUUUCCCCUGAACUCUCAAACUCUAUUUCCAUUUGAUCUCAUCAUUUGUUCACCAUUUUUUUCAUUCCAUCAGGGAAAAUAUUGGCUUAAACAGGUGAAACAGGUGGAGUGGAGAGGGGGGAGCAUUUGUGUCUGGGCAUAGAGACAAAUGGCCAAAAGGUCAAAGGUAAUAGAGAGUGUGACCUGUGCUUAAAUGAAAGGAGGUGGAUCUGGCUGGAGGGGAUGGUGAAGGGGAGUGAGUGUAAGAGAACAAAUAGAGAAAUAGUUGGCACUCACAUCAGGAAAGCUUCCAGGUGGAAGAUUGGAUUAUCCUGAGAGCACUGAAUGGUCUUAAAUAGGAGUGUGAAAAUUAAUAAAACCCUCAAUUGGAAUAGAGUUGGAGGCCA
Molecule: long non-coding RNA, 1081 nt
Filed under: Bos indicus x Bos taurus (hybrid cattle)
Lineage: Eukaryota; Metazoa; Chordata; Mammalia; Artiodactyla; Bovidae
Description: lncRNA (ENSBIXG00000021569.1)
Source: RNAcentral